AUGAAUGAAUGUAGAGUUGGUUGUAGCUGGCCUCCCUGAGGUAUGUGCACGCCUUCUCUUUCAUCCACACACCCCUGUGCACUUGUGAGACGGAGACGUUUUCCUUUAAUCGGGAUGGUCUCCGUCUGCUAUCACAUAAAAUCUAAUUUAUUAAAACUGAAUGUAAUUGAUGUAACGCAUCUAAUAC
Molecule: unclassified non-coding RNA, 187 nt
Filed under: uncultured Ceratobasidium
Lineage: Eukaryota; Fungi; Basidiomycota; Agaricomycetes; Cantharellales; Ceratobasidiaceae
Description: sequence contains ITS1
Source: RNAcentral